CACCGGAAAAGUGCUUCUAAUAUCCUUCACUGGUCUCUGUCCAGAGCAACGGCAUCUGUUGAUCCAUUUCUUUAAUUGUCUAUGUUUUUAGGCCACAAAG
Molecule: long non-coding RNA, 100 nt
Organism: Etheostoma spectabile (orangethroat darter)
Lineage: Eukaryota; Metazoa; Chordata; Actinopteri; Perciformes; Percidae
Exons: 3
Source: RefSeq, a predicted model, not a curated record